Vicia faba (fava bean) is the source of this 216-nucleotide non-coding RNA. The record is from the annotation of a GenBank genome assembly. Lineage: Eukaryota; Viridiplantae; Streptophyta; Magnoliopsida; Fabales; Fabaceae.
AUGUUAAUGCUUCUCUUUCAACAUCUUUGUUUUCUUUCCACCCUUGCUCAUCAGAAAACAACACUUCCACCUUCCGCCAUGGAUUUCAGCGGGGGUGGGAAAAAACCAAAAAAAAACUCAUGCCGGUGCUUUCGUCUCCCUCUCUCUAGUACAAAUUCACAAUCCAAAUUCUCUAAAUCAACACCCUCAUCAUUUAUUUAUAAAUUCAAGUCAUGA